RNAcentral lists this long non-coding RNA (678 nucleotides) under Daphnia magna. Its description in RNAcentral is "uncharacterized LOC123467785". The record is from RNAcentral. Lineage: Eukaryota; Metazoa; Arthropoda; Branchiopoda; Diplostraca; Daphniidae.
CAUUUUUUAAAGUAGAGAAUUCCCCCGCACAUCGGAACUGAGGGAGUGAGGGAAGGGGGAUAAAAUAUCCAUGAUGGCCGCUUCCACUUUUCAGCCUCUACCUCCAAAUCUAUUCGCCGACAUAAAGCAAAUAGACACUUACACCGCACCCGAGCAGUUCACAUUUUCUAUCUCUGUGAUUUCGGUAGUUCCAGAGUGCACAGUCGAAUAUUGUGUGUUGUGCUUCUCGUUUUCAACAACAAGAAUUGUGGAUUUUUUCAUUCUCGAGCUAAAUUAAAUGUGUUUAAAUGAUUGGCAACAUGUAACUCUUGAAUUUGUGAGAAUGUCCUUCUUUUUGAACCGCCAUUUAAUCAGUACUACCUGUUUCACCUGAAACUUACAGGAUGCCGUCGGCUCCAGCUCAUAAUUAUGAGGCAGAUAGCAUUUCAAAAAUCUCAUGAAUCGUUAGGUCGUCGUAGUGUUUUGUAUGACUAUAAAUUUACGUAAGCUGAAAUUCAACAUCCUCUAUGACUUGAUUUUGUGCGCCAGAUCCCAUACUACGCCAAAUCAUUUCACCUGCAUUCCAGCAAGUGAAAAGCUAAACUUGAUGCUUUGACCAGUUUCGACAUGAACGGCAGACUGGUUAAGACAAGAGUUUCACGAUCCUGCUCGUUCCUGCGUUGGGUAAACUUGUUAUGC